UGGGGAAUUUUGGACAAUGGGCGCAAGCCUGAUCCAGCAAUGCCGCGUGAGUGAAGAAGGCCUUCGGGUUGUAAAGCCCUUUUGUCAGGGAAGAAACGGCGGAGGUUAAUCCCCUCUGCUAAUGACGGUACCCGAAGAAUAAGCACCGGCUAACUACGUGCCAGCAGCCGCGGUAAUACGUAGGGUGCAAGCGUUAAUCGGAAUUACUGGGCGUAAAGCGUGCGCAGGCGGUUUUGUAAGUCUGUCGUGAAAUCCCCGGGCUCAACCUGGGAAUUGCGAUGGAGACUGCAAGGCUAGAAUCUGGCAGAGGGGGGUAGAAUUCCACGUGUAGCAGUGAAAUGCGUAGAGAUGUGGAGGAACACCGAUGGCGAAGGCAGCCCCCUGGGUCAAGAUUGACGCUCAUGCACGAAAGCGUGGGGAGCAAAC
RNAcentral lists this ribosomal RNA (426 nucleotides) under uncultured bacterium. RNAcentral describes it as "bacterial SSU rRNA". It matches the Rfam family "Bacterial small subunit ribosomal RNA", at positions 355 to 773 of the family's 1533-position model. The record is from RNAcentral.